This 1569-nucleotide ribosomal RNA is filed under the name Enterococcus faecium. RNAcentral's name for it is "bacterial SSU rRNA". It matches the Rfam family "Bacterial small subunit ribosomal RNA". The record is from RNAcentral. Lineage: Bacteria; Bacillati; Bacillota; Bacilli; Lactobacillales; Enterococcaceae.
UUUUAUGAGAGUUUGAUCCUGGCUCAGGACGAACGCUGGCGGCGUGCCUAAUACAUGCAAGUCGAACGCUUCUUUUUCCACCGGAGCUUGCUCCACCGGAAAAAGAAGAGUGGCGAACGGGUGAGUAACACGUGGGUAACCUGCCCAUCAGAAGGGGAUAACACUUGGAAACAGGUGCUAAUACCGUAUAACAAUCGAAACCGCAUGGUUUUGAUUUGAAAGGCGCUUUCGGGUGUCGCUGAUGGAUGGACCCGCGGUGCAUUAGCUAGUUGGUGAGGUAACGGCUCACCAAGGCCACGAUGCAUAGCCGACCUGAGAGGGUGAUCGGCCACAUUGGGACUGAGACACGGCCCAAACUCCUACGGGAGGCAGCAGUAGGGAAUCUUCGGCAAUGGACGAAAGUCUGACCGAGCAACGCCGCGUGAGUGAAGAAGGUUUUCGGAUCGUAAAACUCUGUUGUUAGAGAAGAACAAGGAUGAGAGUAACUGUUCAUCCCUUGACGGUAUCUAACCAGAAAGCCACGGCUAACUACGUGCCAGCAGCCGCGGUAAUACGUAGGUGGCAAGCGUUGUCCGGAUUUAUUGGGCGUAAAGCGAGCGCAGGCGGUUUCUUAAGUCUGAUGUGAAAGCCCCCGGCUCAACCGGGGAGGGUCAUUGGAAACUGGGAGACUUGAGUGCAGAAGAGGAGAGUGGAAUUCCAUGUGUAGCGGUGAAAUGCGUAGAUAUAUGGAGGAACACCAGUGGCGAAGGCGGCUCUCUGGUCUGUAACUGACGCUGAGGCUCGAAAGCGUGGGGAGCAAACAGGAUUAGAUACCCUGGUAGUCCACGCCGUAAACGAUGAGUGCUAAGUGUUGGAGGGUUUCCGCCCUUCAGUGCUGCAGCUAACGCAUUAAGCACUCCGCCUGGGGAGUACGACCGCAAGGUUGAAACUCAAAGGAAUUGACGGGGGCCCGCACAAGCGGUGGAGCAUGUGGUUUAAUUCGAAGCAACGCGAAGAACCUUACCAGGUCUUGACAUCCUUUGACCACUCUAGAGAUAGAGCUUCCCCUUCGGGGGCAAAGUGACAGGUGGUGCAUGGUUGUCGUCAGCUCGUGUCGUGAGAUGUUGGGUUAAGUCCCGCAACGAGCGCAACCCUUAUUGUUAGUUGCCAUCAUUCAGUUGGGCACUCUAGCAAGACUGCCGGUGACAAACCGGAGGAAGGUGGGGAUGACGUCAAAUCAUCAUGCCCCUUAUGACCUGGGCUACACACGUGCUACAAUGGGAAGUACAACGAGUCGCGAAGUCGCGAGGCUAAGCUAAUCUCUUAAAGCUUCUCUCAGUUCGGAUUGCAGGCUGCAACUCGCCUGCAUGAAGCCGGAAUCGCUAGUAAUCGCGGAUCAGCACGCCGCGGUGAAUACGUUCCCGGGCCUUGUACACACCGCCCGUCACACCACGAGAGUUUGUAACACCCGAAGUCGGUGAGGUAACCUUUUUGGAGCCAGCCGCCUAAGGUGGGAUAGAUGAUUGGGGUGAAGUCGUAACAAGGUAGCCGUAUCGGAAGGUGCGGCUGGAUCACCUCCUUUCUAAGGAA